Molecule: long non-coding RNA, 6709 nt
Organism: Canis lupus familiaris (dog)
Lineage: Eukaryota; Metazoa; Chordata; Mammalia; Carnivora; Canidae
Exons: 3
Source: RefSeq, a predicted model, not a curated record
UCUUUCUACUGACUUCUCUAUGAGAGGCUGGAGAAUCAGCUCAAGAAGUUUUGAAGGAUUUCAGAGGCCCUGAAAACCUCUCAGCGACAUGGGCGUUCCUGGAGUGCCUGUGCCCUAGGUCCCGAACAUCUACUUCCACUGGGCCUGCCUGGUUAUUUUUGAGCAAUAGCUAACCCCCCGCCCCCCGCCUCAGGCAGAGACUAGCUGAAAUUUCCUUUGUAGAAUGCUUGUGUCACAGUGUAUGCUAUCUCACCUUGUCACUGCACCUCCACACCAACCUUUGAGAGAGGUUCUAACCACUCAGGUAGUAGGCUAGUUGCAGGCUGCAGGCCAGGGAACAAUCUUCCACACUGUUAAACACCUGGCUUUCCACUGUACCGCCACACCAUUGUAUGGGACCAGCUUCUAGGUUCCCUCAGGUGUGAGUGCUCAUUGAAGGGUAUGUCUGGGAAGGCUUAGCUUCAAAGGGAAGCAGACCACCUACCUACUGCCCGAAAGCAACCUUUCAAGAGGGGGUCUACUUACUAUUUAAAGAGGCUAGUGGAAACCUACAUGCAAGGAUCUGUGGCUUCCCAGAGGCCCUAUAGCAGAUAUUUACCAGGUCUCCAAAACUGCUGUAGAUAUAGGUUUAAACUCCCUUGAUGUAGAGGCUAGCCGGCUAGGAAGGCCUGAGUCACAGAAUUAAUGCCAGGUCAUUUCCAAUUCGUCUCCACAGCUGCUAGGAAGGUAAGGUCUAAAUUGCCUAUGUGAGAGAUCUAAUGCAGAGCUUCCCUCAGAGAAAGCUUUGUCCUCAGCGAUAAGUAGACCGCUUUCCCUUUGCACUGCCACCACUGCUGAGACAUAUGAUUUAAACUCCCUGAUGUGAGAAGCUUGUCAGAGGGACAUUUCAGGAAGGCCAAUGUCCUCUAAAAGUGUACAGCACCUUACAGGGCCCCCCCAAACUGACUGAGGAGCUAGGUUCUAAAGCCCUUCAUUGACAGACCAGUGGAUAGCUGACCUUAAGGUAAGCUUCUGCUUAGGGUCCAGCACAGGGAGGUCCAUUGGACCGCCAGCCUAUUGUUGAGCUAGGGCCUGCCACUUACAUUUCAGAGGCUAGCUGAAAGUUUCCCUCGUAGAACACGUGUUUCUCAGAGUACACUAUGUCUCGUUGUCAUUUCACCACCACAUCAACUGUUGAGGGUUGUUCUAACUCACUCUGAUGAUAGACUAGUUGCAAACUGCAGGCCAGGAAAGCUUCUUUCUAGUGUUAAGUACCUGGCCUUUCCACUGCGCCAACACACCAACACACCAACGAGUGGAGUUAGCUGCUAACAUCCCUCAGAUGUGAGGGCUCAUUGAAGGGUAACUCUGGGUAGGCCUAUCUUACAAAGUGAAGCGGACCACCUUUCCACUGCACAUAGGCUGGGGGGAGAGUGGUCUAUCUUCUUUUUGAAGAAGUUAGUGAAAACCUGCAUUCAAGGAUCUGUGGAAUUCUAGUAAGCAGAAGGUCAGGAGAAUUGCUUUCUCAGUAAAAAUUACCUGACCUCUCCACUAGCCCUCCACCAUUAGGCUGGAGCUAGCUAAACUCCCUCAGCUGUGAGGGCAUAUGGAAAUGUGACCUAAGGGAGGGCCUGGUUCUCAGACUGAAUCCCAGACUUGCCACUGCCCAGGCUCAUCUGCUGGGCUGGGAGGGUUGACUUACCUCACACAAUGGGCCAGGGGAGAGCUGCACUCAAGGAACUGUGGUGUCCCAGAGAACCUACAGCUCUUUGGACCACACUCCAAACCUUCUGGGGAGACAGGUUUGAACUUCCAUCAUUGAGAAGCUAGCCUUCUGGAAGGCCGGAGCUUCAGAACUCAGGCCAGCUCAUUUCCAUUGGGCCCUACAGCUGCUGGGUAGGUAGAUUCUCACAGGCCUCUGAGAGAAGCCUAGUGGUGAGCUUAGGCAGGGAGAGCUUUGCCCUCAGAGGAAUGUAGCCUGCUUUCACUUGGCACCACCACCACUGCUAAUACCCACCUUCCAACUCCCUGAGGUGAGAAGCUAGUUGCAAGGGGCCCUCCAGGAAGGCCUAUGUCACCUAGAGGUGAAAGGGCCUUCGAAACUCCUCCAAAAUUCCUGAGGAGCUGGCUUCCAAAGCCAUUCCUUGUGAGGCCAGUGGAAUGCUGCCCACAGGGACUCUUGGGCCCAGGUUCAUGACAGCGAGUUCCAUUGGGUCUCCAGCCUAAGGUGCAGCCAGUGCAUACCUCUGACCUGGGAGGAGUAGCUGAAAGUUUCAUUCAAGGAACACUAGUUUCUCAGCAUUCAGUAGGUUCUAUGGUCUUUCAUCUGUAAAACAAAUGUGGACAGGGUGUGCUAACUCACCCCGGUGUCAGACUCCUUGUAAGCAGAAGGCCAGGUAAAGCUGCUUUCUCAGUGAAAAGUACCUGGCCUCUCCACUGGUCCUCCACCACCAAGGCUGGAGCUAGCUGCUAAACUCCCCCAGCUGUGAGGGCUCGUUGAAAGGUUCCAUCAGGGAGGGAUUCGUUCUCAGACGAAAGCCCAUAGCCUUGUACUGUACAGACUUGUCUGUUGGGGUAAGAGGUUAAGCUUUCCUCACAGAAGGGAGGGCUUGGUUCUCAGAGGAAAGCCCACAGACUUGUACCGCACAGACUCGUCUGCUGGGGUAAGAUUAAAUUUUCCUCAUGGAAGGGGCCAAUGGAGAGCUGCACUCAAGGAACUGUGGUGUCCCAGAGGCCUUAUGGCGCUUUUGUACUGCCUCUCCAAAUAUUCUAGGGAGACACCUUUGAACUCCCACCAUGAGAAGCUAGCAUUCUGGUAAGGUCUGAGCCUCAGACUCAAGCCCGAUCAUUUCCACUGCUCCUCCACAGCUGCCGGGUAGGAAGGGUCUCAGAGGCCUCUGAGAGAGGCCUAGUAGUGAGCUUAGUCAGGGAGAGCUUUGUCUUCACAUGGGUGUAGCCUGCUUUCACUUGGUGUUGCCACAACUGCUGAGACCCAUGUUCUAACACUCCUUCUCAGGAGUGCCCUGAGAAGCUAGUCGUAAGGGGCACUCCAGGAAGACCUAUGCCCUCUAGAGGUGAACAGGGCCUUCCAAAGCCCCUCCAAACUUCCUGAGGAGCUGGCUUCUCAAGCACAUCAAGCAGUGAAAAGCUACCUUCUAGGGACCCUUAGGCCCAGGGUUCAGGACAGUGAGUUCCAUUGGGUCUCCAGCCUAAGGUGGAGCCAGGGCAUACUUCCCACAUGGAAGGUAUUAGCUGAUUGUUUCACUCAAGGAACGCUAGUUCCUCAGUGUUCAGUAGGUCAUGUGGCCUUUUCACCUCCAUAACAACUGUGGAGAGGAUGUGCUAACUCACCCCAGGUGUCAGACUCCUUGUAAGCUAAAGGCCAGGAAAGCAGCUUUCUCAGUGAAAAGUACCCGGCAUAUCCACUUUCCCUCCACCAACAGGGCUGGAGCUAGUUGCUAACAUCCCUCAGCUGUGAGGUCUCGAAAGGUUCCAUCAGGGCAGGCUGGAUCUCAGACUAACCCAACAGCCUUGCCACUGCCCAGGCUUGGCUGCUGGGCUAAGAUGUUUGACUUUCCAAACAGAUGUGACUAGUGGAGAGCUGCACUCCAGGAACUGUGGUGUCCCAUGGGUCCUACAGCACUUCUGUACCGUCCCUCCAAAACUUCUGGGGAGACACAUUUGAACUCCCUUCAUUGAGAAGCUAGCCUUCUGGAAGGCCUGAGCUUCAGAACUUAGGCCAGCUCAUUUCCAUUGUGACCUCACAGCUGCUGGUUAGGCAGGGUCUCAGACACCUCUGAGAUGUCUGUUGGUAAGCUUAGUCAGGAAGAGCUUUUUCCUCAGAGGAAUGUAGCCUGGUUUUUCUUGGCACUGCCACCACUGCUGCUGCCCAUGUUCCAACUCCCUGAGGUGAAAAGCUAGUCGCAAGGUGCACGUAGGCCUAUGUCCCCUAGAGGUAAACAGGGCUUUCCAAGGCCCCUCCACACUUCCUGAGGAGCUGGCUUCUGAAGCCCCUCCUGGAGAGACCAGUCAAAAACUGCCCCCAUGGGACCCUGGGACCCAAGGUUCAGGACAGCAAGUUCCUUUGGGUCUACAUCCUAAGGAGGAGCCAGGGCAUACCUCCCACCUGGGAGAGGCUAGGUGAAAGUUUCAUUCAAGGAAUGCUAGUUCCUCAGCGUUUAUUAGAUCACACGGUCUUUUCACAUCCACCACAACUGUGGAGAGUGUGUGCUAACUCACCCCGGUGACAGACUCACUGUAGGCAGAAGGCCAGGAAAGAUACUUUCUCAGUAAAAAGUACCUGGCCUCUCCACUUGCCCUCCACCACCAAGGGUGGAGCUAGCUGCUGAACUCCCUCAGCUGUGAGGGCUGUUUAUAUUCCCUCAGGGAGAGAUUGGUUCUCAGACUGAAGCCCACAACCUUGGCACUGCCCAGGCUCACCAGGUGGGCUGAAAAGUUCAACUUUCCUCAUGGAAGGGGCCAGUGGAGAGCUGCACUCAAGGAACUGUGGUUUCUCAGAGGCCUGCCAGCGCUUUUUGAAUGUGCUCCACACCUUCCAGGCUGCUGGGGAGGCAAGGUCUCACAGGCCUCUGGAAGAACCCUACUGUGGUGAGCUUAGGGAAAAUAUGUCCACAAAGGAAAGUAGCCUACUUACCCUUGGUGCCGCCAACACUGAUGAGACCCAUGUUCCAACUCCCUGAGGUGAGAGGCUAGUCGCAAGGUCCACUCCAGGGAGGCCUAUGUCCCCUAGAGGUGGAUAGGGACUUCCAGGGCCCCUCCAAACUUGCUGAGGUUCUAGCUUCUCAAGCCCUUACUGGAGAGGCCAGUGGAAACCUACCCUCAUGUGACCCAUCGGCCCAGGGUUUAGGGAACCGAGUUCCUUUGUGUCUCCAGCCUAAGGUGGAGCCAAGGAAUACCUCCCACUUGGGAGAUGCUUAGCUGAAAGUUUCAUUCACGGAAUGCUAGUUCCUCAGAAUUCAGUAGGUUGCAUGGUCUUUUCACCUCCACAACAACUGUGGAGAAGGUGGGCUAACUCACCCGGUGACAUUCUCCUUGUAAGCUGAAGGCCAGGAAAACUGCUUUUUUCAGUGAAUAGUACCUGGCCUCUCCACUGGCCCUCCACCACCAAGGCUGGAGCUAGCUGUAAAAACCCUCAGCUGUGAGGGCUCAUUGAAAUGUUCCAUCAGGGAGAGUUGGGUUCUGAGACUGAAGCCCACAGCCUUGCACUACCUGGAUUCCUCUGCUCUUGGCAAGAUGUUUGACUUUCCACUCACAAGGGGCCAUGGGAGAGCUGCACUCAAGGAACUGUAGUGUCCCAAAGGCCCUACAGUGCUUUUGGGGAGACAGCUGCUAGGUAGGCAAUGUCUCAAAGGACUCUGAGAAAGGCCUAGUGGUGAUUUUAGUGAUGGAGAGCUUUGUCCUCAUGGAAAGUAGCCUGCUUCUCUUGGUGCCACCACCACUGCUGAGACCAUAUUCCAACUCCUUGAGGUGAGAAGCUAGUGACAAGGGGCUCUCCAGGAAGGCCUAUGUCCCCUAGAGGUUGACAGUGCCUUCCAAGGCCCCUACAAACUUCCUGAGGUAUGGCUUUUCAAGCCCUUACUGGAGAGGCCAGUGGAAAGCUGCCCUCAUGGGACCCUUGGUGCCAGGGUUCAGGACUGUGAGUUUUAUUGGGCCUCCAGCCUAAUGUGGAGCCAGGUCCUACCUCCCAUGUGGGUGAGGCUAGCUGAAAGUUUCAUUCAAGGAAUGCUAGUUCCUCAGUGUUUAGUAUGUUGCCCUGUCACUGCACCCCCACACCAACUUUUGAGAGACUGUCUAACUCACUACAGUCAUAGGUGUUUGAAAGCUGCAGGCCAGGAAAUCUCUUUCAGUGUGAAGUAGCUGGCAUUUUACUCUCUGUUUGUUUGUUUUUUACAGAUUUAACCUUUUUUUCCCCAUAUAUAAAUGAUAUAAUUCAGUACUUGUAUUAUUCUGUCUUGCUUCCCUCGCUUAGCAUAUGUGUUCAAAGUCUACCGGUGUUGUCACAAAUGGAAGGGUAGCCUCCUUUUUCAUGGCUGAACUAUAUUCCAUUGUAUAUGUGUACCAUUAAUGAACAUUUAGAUUAUUUCUAUAUAUUAGCUAUUCUGAAUAAUGGUACAAUAAGCAUGGGAGUGCUUAUACAUUCUCAAAAUCCCGUUUUCAUUUCCAUUGGGUAUAUAUCAUGAAGUGGAAUUAUUGCUUAGUAUAGUAGAUCUAUUUUUAAUUCUUUGAGGAACCUCCAUAGUAUUGUUUUCCAUGGUGGUGGACCAAUUUGCAUUCGUACUAACAAUGUGUAAGGUUUCCCUUCUUAUCAUAUCCUCAUCAGCACUGUUGUCUCUUAUCUUCUUGAUGGUAACCAUUCUGACACAUUUGAAGUAAUAUCUCACUGUGGCUUUGAUUUGCAUUUUUCUGAUAAUUAACAAUGAACAUCUUUUCAUGUGUCUGUUGACCAUCCCUAUAUCUUCUCUGGAAAAUCUUUUCUCUGGAAAAAUGUCUAUUUAGAAGGGGUUCUUUUAGCUCAUUUUUAAAUUAAAUUGUUUAAUUUUUAUUAAGAUGACUGAGUUCUUUCUAUAUUUUGGAUAUUAACCAUUUAUUCAAUAUAUGGUAUGCAAAAUUUUUCUACCAUUCUUGGGUUGUCUUUUUAUUUUGUCCAUUUAUUUUAUUUUAUUUAUUUUUAUACAUAUAUUUUUGCUGUCCAGAGGCUUUUGAGUUUGAU